CAGCAAUUCCACCUCCAGGUAUAUAUCCAACGGAAAUGAAAUCAGGAUCUCAAAGAGAUGGAAAAGAAAGAGCAGCCCACCUCCGAAUCGCACUGUUGGCCUGCUCGGUCAGACUUGCAUCCCACCACUGCCUAUUUGAGGAAGCUUCCCUCGCUCGCUUUCGGGGAAGCCUCUGCCUUCUAGGUCAGCAGUGACUGUAGUCACCCCCAGGGUCAGAGCCCAGGAAACCAGGCAUGUGGGUUUCAGAAAAAGACUGAUGGGAUCCAUCUCUCCUGAGAAAGGUGCAGACCGGCACUACGGCAGCUGUAAGCUACAGAAGGUCCUGAGGAGGACUCCUUCAAGAUCCUGUCAUAAUCUAAGCUGGAAUACCAUGGUCAUGUACGGCAGACACAGCACAAACUGGCCGCAGCCCGGUGGCAAGUGUGUCAACAGCCAGCAGUGCCCUCUCAGGCAGGACUCGCUGUGGUAGAAUCAAUGAGGAGCCGAGAGCAGUCCAGAGGCAAGCCCCUCCACUGAACACUGAGUCUACAAUCAUGCCCAGGAUUUACUUUAAGGAGGUGGGGAGUGACGACGCGAGAGGCCAAUGCCACGGAAAGUGGAAUUACAUUUCCUGGGAGAAGGGGGUAUGCCACACGACACAGGGCCACAGGGGAAGCACCAGGUUUGCCGAGGAUGCAGAAACAGGAGCGAGGAGAAAGGUGAGGCCAGAGCCUUUGUUGGUGUUUCUGCAGGAAAGGCAGGGCGUGGCAGAGUCAACAGUUUAGGCUUGCCUAGUUUCAAUAAUUCUGGUGAGGGUCGGCUUUCGGGGUGGUCUCUAGUUGCCUGGUUCCUAACCCUGGGACGAUUUAGGUCAGGGGCAGUACUGGCUUAGUGUGUGUGUCAGAUAAAGGGGGAAGGUGGGGCUGCAGACUCUGGAUUGGUUGGUCCGCAUAUGAAACAAGGGCCCCCUGCAAGCCCUCUGCUGUCUCUAAGAACUGGCGAGUACUGGGUGGGGUCGUCUCUCCCUAGCCAGCAAGUUUUUUAAGAUGUCAAAACAUCACAAAAUACAGAAAAUAAAAACAUGAUUGAUACACUGCUGCUG
This 1081-nucleotide long non-coding RNA is filed under the name Equus asinus (donkey). Its description in RNAcentral is "lncRNA (ENSEASG00005023636.1)". Lineage: Eukaryota; Metazoa; Chordata; Mammalia; Perissodactyla; Equidae. The record is from RNAcentral.